Molecule: ribosomal RNA, 483 nt
Filed under: Thermonectus sp. IR104
Lineage: Eukaryota; Metazoa; Arthropoda; Insecta; Coleoptera; Dytiscidae
Description: partial 16S ribosomal RNA
Rfam family: Bacterial large subunit ribosomal RNA
Source: RNAcentral
ACCUGCCCACUGAAAUUUUUUAACGGCCGCAGUAAUUUGACUGUGCAAAGGUAGCAUAAUCAUUAGUUUUUUAAUUAAAAGCUUGUAUGAAGGGUUGGACGAGGUAAAAUCUGUCUCUAUUUAAUUUAAUAUAGAAUUUAAUUUUUAAGUUAAAAAGCUUAAAUUUUAAUAAAAGACGAGAAGACCCUAUAGAUCUUUAUAUUAUUUAUAUUAAUUUUAAUUAAGAAUUAUUUAUUAAUUAAUAUAAAUAAUAUUUUAUUGGGGUAAUAAAAAGAUUAAAAAAAUUCUUUUAUAAAUUAUACAUUGAUUAAUGAAUAAAUGAUCCAAUUAUUUUGAUUAUAAGAUUAAGUUACCUUAGGGAUAACAGCGUAAUUUUUUUAGAGAGUUCUUAUCGAUAAAAAAGUUUGCGACCUCGAUGUUGGAUUAAAAAUUAUCUUAGGUGCAGAAGUUUAAGAUUUUGGUCUGUUCGACCAUUAAAUUUUU